Molecule: ribosomal RNA, 618 nt
Filed under: Cellulosimicrobium sp.
Lineage: Bacteria; Bacillati; Actinomycetota; Actinomycetes; Micrococcales; Promicromonosporaceae
Description: bacterial SSU rRNA
Rfam family: Bacterial small subunit ribosomal RNA
Source: RNAcentral
CGAUGAUGCCCAGCUUGCUGGGUGGAUUAGUGGCGAACGGGUGAGUAACACGUGAGUAACCUGCCCUUGACUUCGGGAUAACUCCGGGAAACCGGGGCUAAUACCGGAUAUGAGCCGUCCUCGCAUGGGGGUGGUUGGAAAGUUUUUCGGUCAGGGAUGGGCUCGCGGCCUAUCAGCUUGUUGGUGGGGUGAUGGCCUACCAAGGCGACGACGGGUAGCCGGCCUGAGAGGGCGACCGGCCACACUGGGACUGAGACACGGCCCAGACUCCUACGGGAGGCAGCAGUGGGGAAUAUUGCACAAUGGGCGCAAGCCUGAUGCAGCGACGCCGCGUGAGGGAUGAAGGCCUUCGGGUUGUAAACCUCUUUCAGCAGGGAAGAAGCGCAAGUGACGGUACCUGCAGAAGAAGCGCCGGCUAACUACGUGCCAGCAGCCGCGGUAAUACGUAGGGCGCAAGCGUUGUCCGGAAUUAUUGGGCGUAAAGAGCUCGUAGGCGGUCUGUCGCGUCUGGUGUGAAAACUCGAGGCUCAACCUCGAGCUUGCAUCGGGUACGGGCAGACUAGAGUGCGGUAGGGGAGACUGGAAUUCCUGGUGUAGCGGUGGAAUGCGCAGAUAUCA